UGCCAGCAGCCGCGGUAAUACGGAGGGGGCAAGCGUUGUUCGGAAUUACUGGGCGUAAAGGGUGCGCAGGCGGCGUCGCCAGUCAGGUGUGAAAUCCCCGGGCUCAACCCGGGAACUGCACUUGAUACUGCGAUGCUAGAGUUCGGAAGAGGGUAGUGGAAUUCCGAGUGUAGGAGUGAAAUCCGUAGAUAUUCGGAGGAACACCAGUGGCGAAGGCGGCUUUCUGGACCGAUACUGACGCUGAGACGCGAAAGCGUGGGGAGCAAACAGGAUUAGAUA
RNAcentral lists this ribosomal RNA (279 nucleotides) under uncultured bacterium. RNAcentral's name for it is "partial 16S ribosomal RNA". It matches the Rfam family "Bacterial small subunit ribosomal RNA", at positions 506 to 784 of the family's 1533-position model. The record is from RNAcentral.